Vicia faba (fava bean) is the source of this 340-nucleotide non-coding RNA. Lineage: Eukaryota; Viridiplantae; Streptophyta; Magnoliopsida; Fabales; Fabaceae. The record is from the annotation of a GenBank genome assembly.
UCGAAAUUGGUCUUAUUACCAUCGAUUUUCACUGAUUUAUGAUCAAUUUGACCGGCUCUUGCCAAUUCUAAGAUUAAUGUUUAGCAGUAAAAGAACCAAACAUCUCACCAGUUCCUCAUUCAAUCGAUUAAAUGGUUACAUAAUCCAAGGUAUGGGAAUUACUAUGUUCUCAUAUAAAAAUAAACUAUACAAGUUCGUAAGCUUAUACAACACCAAUUUAACACGUGCAAACGUAGAUCGAUGCAACCAUAACUAUUGCGGAGUCCCGUCACACAAAUUCAAUGAUUUGUUGCCUACAAAAUUUUCUAUACGAUCUACAGAGGGACAAUUGCCUAUGUGA